This 429-nucleotide ribosomal RNA is filed under the name Acidobacteriota bacterium. Its description in RNAcentral is "Acidobacteria bacterium partial 16S ribosomal RNA". It matches the Rfam family "Bacterial small subunit ribosomal RNA", at positions 355 to 776 of the family's 1533-position model. Lineage: Bacteria; Pseudomonadati; Acidobacteriota. The record is from RNAcentral.
UGGGGAAUUUUGGACAAUGGGGGAAACCCUGAUCCAGCCAUCCCGCGUGUGCGAUGAAGGCCUUCGGGUUGUAAAGCACUUUUUGCAGGAAAGAAACGUCAUGGGUUAAUACCCCGUGAAACUGACGGUACCUGCAGAAUAAGCACCGGCUAACUACGUGCCAGCAGCCGCGGUAAUACGUAGGGUGCAAGCGUUAAUCGGAAUUACUGGGCGUAAAGCGUGCGCAGGCGGUUCGGAAAGAAAGAUGUGAAAUCCCAGAGCUCAACUUUGGAACUGCAUUUUUAACUACCGGGCUAGGGUGUGUCAGAGGGAGGUGGAAUUCCGCGUGUAGAAGUGAAAUGCGUAGGUAUGCGGAGGAACACCGAUGGCGAAGGCAACCUCCUGGGAUAACACUGAAGCUCAUGCACGAAAGCGUGGGGAGCAAACAGG